GACGAACGCUGGCGGCGUGCUUAACACAUGCAAGUCGAACGGAAAGGCCUCUUUCGGGGGGUACUCGAGUGGCGAACGGGUGAGUAACACGUGAGUAACCUGCCCUUGACUUUGGGAUAACUUCAGGAAACUGGGGCUAAUACCGGAUAGGAGCUCCUGCUGCAUGGUGGGGGUUGGAAAGUUUCGGCGGUUGGGGAUGGACUCGCGGCUUAUCAGCUUGUUGGUGGGGUAGUGGCUUACCAAGGCUUUGACGGGUAGCCGGCCUGAGAGGGUGACCGGCCACAUUGGGACUGAGAUACGGCCCAGACUCCUACGGGAGGCAGCAGUGGGGAAUAUUGCACAAUGGGUGGAAGCCUGAUGCAGCAACGCCGUGUGCGGGAUGACGGCCUUCGGGUUGUAACCCGCUUUCGCUCAUGACGAAGCUUUGUGUGACGGUAGUGGGUAAAGAAGCACCGGCUAACUACGUG
Molecule: ribosomal RNA, 467 nt
Filed under: uncultured bacterium
Lineage: Bacteria
Description: partial 16S ribosomal RNA
Rfam family: Bacterial small subunit ribosomal RNA
Source: RNAcentral